Topomyia yanbarensis is the source of this 3413-nucleotide long non-coding RNA. RefSeq lists it as uncharacterized. The transcript has 3 exons. Lineage: Eukaryota; Metazoa; Arthropoda; Insecta; Diptera; Culicidae. The record is from RefSeq and is a predicted model, not a curated record.
UUGCGAUAUAGCAUAUGAUUUGUCAUUUGAACGACAUAAAAACUCAAUGUUGACGAUUUCGAAUGGCAAUCAUCCAAAAAAUGGUGGAUUCAAAAUCGAAUGACUUCAUGUCUGUAUUGGAAUGAACAGUCUGUGAUAUUCGAAGGAUAGACAUAACGCCAUAUGAAUUAUUUGCACCCAAAAAAGUAAACGAUAGUGCUUAUUAUUAUCAUCUCAACUAACAGUAGUUGAUCAUUCGUGUUUCAUCUGUUUCCAGUGUUUGGGCUGGCUCGAAUGACAGUCAUUUGAAGCGCUUCAUGCGUUUGCGAGAUAAGUUUUUUCAUUAUUUCUGUGCAGUCGCAAAAAGUCAGUUCGCAACAUCAAAACGUGAAAAAACUGCUGCUUGUCAUCUUCAAGACUAACGUACCCUAGAAAAAUUGCUUUGGAGCUGAUUUCCUGGUAUUGGGAGAGAAACUAGCGUCCGGAUCAAAGGAUUUAUUUGCAUAUUUUGGAGCAAUGCCACUGACAUGGUGUCUUUCAACAUACAGGGAAUAGCCGUUAUUUAGUGCAAAUAACUGGUCAAAGCCAUAGUAUGCAAGGCAAAGAGGGAGUACUGGAAAGGGAGUGAAAUAUACAAUAGGAUGGAUGCCAAAUAGCUGUCAAUUGAUGACUAUGUUGAUCGGAACUAUUAUUCUGGUGAAAUGGUGGCACUAACGAUUCAAUAUCGUACGGGAAUCACAGCCCUAGGAACCACGAGUCCCAAGAGAUUGUAGUUACAGGUAUUCCUAUCCCAAGGUUUGGAAAAUUUCCACGCGACCGGCACUAGGUGAUGGCCAAAUCUACUGGUUUCACAUAGCCGUCUUAGUCCCUGAAUCAGAUUCGAGAGCUAGACGGAUCGCAUGAUAUGCAACAUGAAGAGCCAAUGUUCGAUCUGCUUUGGUUCUAUCCCGAUGACCAUGGCGGCUGAACUACAUUGCCCCACAAUGCUGAUUACCUUUGGAAAUGUACAAUCAAUUAAACAAUCUGACGCAGGUAUUUCAGUUUUAUUAUGGAAGGGUUCAAUUUAUAGCAUUAAGCACUAUUUACACUUAUCCGAUCCGUUUCAGUUCCGUGCACGGACACCAAUAUUCUUUCAUACAAAUCAAAAGCGAGCAUUCACACUUGUCCGGCACGGUGCUGUGUGCUCACAUUUGAAGCGUGUAAAAUAAUAUUGGCAUUCGUGCACGGUACUGAACCGUUGCCAAAGCGGAUCGGAAAGGUGUUACUUUGACUUUAUCGUUAUGUUGUUACAAUAUUCUCUGCACAAAAGUACACUAAAAAAAUCGAAACGUUAAUUCUAUUUGUUUCAAACCGCUUAAAAUUCAUAUGAAGAAGAAAUGCUAUUGUUAUCGAGCGCACACAUACCUUCUAUGUGUCAAUUGUAUAAACUAUGUAUGCACACACAUAAGUUAUAUGUGCAUAUUGUUAUAGAAUGGGGUUUUAUGUGCCUAAUAAUUAUGAAAUGUGAAUGUAAGAUUAAUAUUUAUUGUAAAUACACACAUUAGGUUUAUGUGCCAGUAAAUAGUGUCGUAAACGUAUACUUCCGCAAUAGUGCAAAAAUCUAUAAACCAAUAGGCAUAACGUUUACUUUUUUAAGUGUACUAUGAUUGUGGUUAAUAUACAGGUGGCAUUCAUGACACACGCCUGUUUACGAAUAUUUUGACGCAUGAGAAUUUUUUCAAAAAGACAUCUGCAAUGAGUUACUCUCUUUGUUUACUUUCUCUUUCGAUUUUUACGGUGUCACUAUAACGCUUUUCACUUAUUUUACAGUACAGAUCGAAAGACGGUGGUUUUAAGUAGCAUAUUAUGACCAGACUUGAGGGAUAAAUGUUAAAGUGACCGAAUUAUUAACAGAAGAGAAAGUAAACAAAGAGAGUAACUCAUUGCAGAUAUGACUUUUUGAAAAAACGCUCAAGAAUUGCGUCCCACUAUUCACCAUCUUGCUGUAAUAGUGAUUUAUUUCCUCUUUUCAGAAAACACCAGCACCGCACAAACGUAAGAGAUUCUGUGAUGGACCAACGUUGCCGCAAGAGAACACUGGUAGCAAUAGGUUUGUUCCAGUACCAGGAGAAACUGGAACAAAUCGGAGUGAAAAGGAGCAAGAAUGUUUUGUUCCGGAGCAACAGGGAGUGACUUCCGUGUACUGGAACAAACCUAAUCAUUGUUAGCAGAAAGGAAACCACUCUUUUGCGCUCAAGCAAGAAACCAAGUCACCCAGCAAUUUUUAAGUUUACCGUAAAACUUGAAGGCACUGAGCUAGAUCAGCAACCUCCCGGUGCGAUUGUUAAAAGUCGAUCAACGAUCCAGUAGAAUUACGCACUAGACAAGAGAAUAUGUCCGGAAUUACAAAUUCUGACUCAUCAGAAAAAUAUCUUUAAAAAAGCACUAGCUCGGAAACGGUAUCAAUCGAAACUAUGAAAAGUUUCGACUGACUCCGACGCAAAUUCCGGAAACUUUUCUUCGUUGAUUGCGCGAAUAUUAUAUUCUGGUACUGCUGGGUAAAUUUCACAUUGAAGAAUAAUUCCGUUGCUAGCUGCCAUGAUUCAGCAUCGAGAGAUAGAACCUAUAGUCGAGAUCGAACCAAGAGAGCAAGGCAAACCGUUGUCACUAAACGCCCUAGCACUAAACUAAAACAAGUUAUAUUACACAUAAGAUAUAACUUUCUCCGCUGAAGGAAGGCAACAAAUUUUUACCGUUAAAUUUGAAUACUGCGUAAUUGUCUCUCUUCGUUUACUUUCGUAGUCACCGAUGUUACGUAACAUGUUUUAACUGAAGAAUUUUUUUUUGAAGACUCACGUACCGGGGGAGUAGCGAUAAAAAAAGUUGUGGUUCAGCCGGAAAUGAACUGGAUUUCUGGCUGGUUCCAGUUCGUAUUCUGGCUCCAGUAACACAACCGAUUCUAAUUAGCCACUAAAGUCGGAAUACGAACUGGAACCAGCCAGAAUUCCGGUUCAUUUCCGGCUGAGCUUAACUGGGUGCUAAAGCUGUAAGAUUGUCAUGAUGACAUUCACACAGAAAAAAAUGUUGGUAAAAAUAAGAGUUUUUCACUCUUAGCAAAAAAGAACCAACGCAUACUCUUAGUUUGAAAAUAAAACUUUUAUUUUGAAUACUAUUCUUCAUUAGCUUAAAAGGAAAACUUUUAUUUUGAUUAUUAUUCUUGAUUAAUUUAAAAGUUUUACUUUCAACCUGAUAGUAGGCGUUAGUUGUUUUUUGCUAAGAGCGGAACACUCUUACUUUUACCAAUAUUUUUUUUCUGUGUGUUGGUAACGAAACUAUAUUAAGCAAAGUGUCAAAAGUUUGAAUUCAAUAUGAGGUUUUUUAUACAACGGUAGCAUGUUACAAGCAUUUGGAUUGUGUUUUGAUGUUUUUAGAAUAUAUUAUUUUGAUCAAUAGUU